RNAcentral lists this long non-coding RNA (539 nucleotides) under Heterocephalus glaber (naked mole-rat). RNAcentral's name for it is "lncRNA (ENSHGLG00100035365.1)". Lineage: Eukaryota; Metazoa; Chordata; Mammalia; Rodentia; Bathyergidae. The record is from RNAcentral.
AGAUCGAACUCGGGACCUUGUGCUUGCAAGGCAGGAAAUGGCAUUACUCAGCUAAAUCUCCGCCCCAAUGAUGCUUUUCUUAAAAUGAGAACAAAUCCAAAUCUCAAGGUCUUAUCUUGUACUGAGACCAGUUUUUACAUUUCAAUGACCUAAGGACCUGGAAUGUUAAUGAUCUUACUGAACUGCUCCUGAAGAAUCCCCAUCAAUGGACCUGACUUCAGUUGGAUUGAUAGAUUACUUCUCACCACUCAGAAAGCUGAUACAAGGGCAAGAGCAGUAGAGUGGGAAGAAGGAACACGGGGAGCAGAAGAGUUCCCUCUCUGGAGCAUUCAUUUUAUUUGGCUCGUACAAAUGUCAAGGGACAUUGAGGUAAGACAUUGGUGGCUCAAACUGAUUUCUGCUUUCCUCGGCCAUAAACCAUUGUACACCCUAUGUGAGCAUCAAGCAGAAUGUGUGGAAUUUUAUUCUGCCCUAGAUGUUAUUGUCUUCAGGAUCACAAAGAAGCGCAGUCCUGGAGUCAUACAAUAUUUUUUUCCUAC